Molecule: ribosomal RNA, 444 nt
Filed under: uncultured bacterium
Lineage: Bacteria
Description: SSU rRNA
Rfam family: Bacterial small subunit ribosomal RNA
Source: RNAcentral
AGAACGAACGCUGGCGGCAGGCCUAAUACAUGCAAGUCGAACGCACUCUUCGGAGUGAGUGGCAGACGGGUGAGUAACGCGUGGGAACCUUCCCAAUGGUACGGAAUAACUCCGGGAAACCGGUGCUAAUACCGUAUAAGCCCCUCGGGGGAAAGAUUUAUCGCCAUUGGAUGGGUCCGCGUCGGAUUAGCUAGUUGGUGGGGUAAAGGCCUACCAAGGCAACGAUCCGUAGCUGGUCUGAGAGGAUGAUCAGCCACACUGGGACUGAGACACGGCCCAGACUCCUACGGGAGGCAGCAGUGGGGAAUAUUGGACAAUGGGCGAAAGCCUGAUCCAGCAAUGCCGCGUGAGUGAUGAAGGCCUUAGGGUUGUAAAGCUCUUUUACCCGGGAUGAUAAUGACAGUACCGGAGAAUAAGCCCGGCUAACUCCGUGCCAGCAGCCGC